GAAUAUAUAGCUUAUAAAUUUAGAGCAUAGCAGUGAAGUUGCUAAGGAAUUAGUUAUAAUUUUAUUCA
RNAcentral lists this transfer RNA (68 nucleotides) under Tonicia forbesii. RNAcentral describes it as "tRNA-Phe". The record is from RNAcentral. Lineage: Eukaryota; Metazoa; Mollusca; Polyplacophora; Chitonida; Chitonidae.